This 253-nucleotide ribosomal RNA is filed under the name uncultured Turicibacter sp. RNAcentral's name for it is "partial 16S ribosomal RNA". It matches the Rfam family "Bacterial small subunit ribosomal RNA", at positions 524 to 776 of the family's 1533-position model. The record is from RNAcentral. Lineage: Bacteria; Bacillati; Bacillota; Erysipelotrichia; Erysipelotrichales; Turicibacteraceae.
UACGUAGGUGGCAAGCGUUAUCCGGAAUUAUUGGGCGUAAAGAGCGCGCAGGUGGUUAAUUAAGUCUGAUGUGAAAGCCCACGGCUUAACCGUGGAGGGUCAUUGGAAACUGGUUGACUUGAGUGCAGAAGAGGGAAGUGGAAUUCCAUGUGUAGCGGUGAAAUGCGUAGAUAUCAGGAGGAACAUCGGUGGCGAAAGCGCUUUACUGGACCAUUAUUGACGCUGAGGAACGAAAGCCAGGGGAGCAAAUGGG